Salarias fasciatus (jewelled blenny) is the source of this 276-nucleotide long non-coding RNA. RefSeq lists it as uncharacterized. Lineage: Eukaryota; Metazoa; Chordata; Actinopteri; Blenniiformes; Blenniidae. The transcript is spliced from 3 exons. The record is from RefSeq and is a predicted model, not a curated record.
UAGCUUACCAGCAUGGACCAACUUGAUGACAUUGCGAAAUCGACUUUGAAAGCUGCAAACAUAAGUGAGGAAGUCUUGGGCACCCUGUCUCGUGAGGACCUCCGGGAUCUCUUCCCAGGCCCAGAAAAUUUCUUUCGGAGAAAAGCGGUCUGGCAUGCCUGUCAUGCCUGUCGUGAUGAUUUCGAUGAGGAAGUUGGCAGAGACAGUGGUACCUCUGUUACCGAAUCACCUUUGCCACAAGCAUCCAUGCCACAAGCAUCCACUCCAGUGAAAGAG